Molecule: ribosomal RNA, 419 nt
Filed under: Enterococcus faecalis
Lineage: Bacteria; Bacillati; Bacillota; Bacilli; Lactobacillales; Enterococcaceae
Description: bacterial SSU rRNA
Rfam family: Bacterial small subunit ribosomal RNA
Source: RNAcentral
UUUAUGGAGAGUUUGAUCCUGGCUCAGGACGAACGCUGGCGGCGUGCCUAAUACAUGCAAGUCGAGCGAACAGACAAGGAGCUUGCUCCUUUGACGUUAGCGGCGGACGGGUGAGUAACACGUGGGUAACCUACCUAUAAGACUGGGAUAACUUCGGGAAACCGGAGCUAAUACCGGAUAAUAUUUCGAACCGCAUGGUUCGAUAGUGAAAGAUGGUUUUGCUAUCACUUAUAGAUGGACCCGCGCCGUAUUAGCUAGUUGGUAAGGUAACGGCUUACCAAGGCGACGAUACGUAGCCGACCUGAGAGGGUGAUCGGCCACACUGGAACUGAGACACGGUCCAGACUCCUACGGGAGGCAGCAGUAGGGAAUCUUCCGCAAUGGGCGAAAGCCUGACGGAGCAACGCCGCGUGAGUGAU